GUCUAGAAUGGAUCCUUUUAUUUUGCUAUAUAGGAUACCACUAAAGUUGGCCGUAAAAAGGCGGCCUCACCGCAAAGUAGUCGUAUUUCCAAGAUGUCUGUCAAGUCUGUCAAAGAAUGCUGAAGGGAACGAAUUUUUCUCGACGGUCCAGAAUGGGCUAAAGAUUAAAUAAAAUUAUAAGAGUGAAGCGAAUUGUCGUCAAUUGAAUUGGAACUAAAAACUGUUGCGAAAAUUCAGAUUGUUGAGCAAGGCGUUCAUGCCAGAAGGUUUACAUCCAAUAUUGCCCAGGGGGACAGUAAUUAGAACAAUUUCUUUAAGUUUGUGUGGACACAGAGGCUUGAAUGUAGAAAUCAAAGAGUGGACAUGCGUAUAAAAUAUCGCCAACAGACCAUGGACGGAUAAAGAGAAAAAUCUACUAUUGUGAUUGAAAGUUGAAAAUAAACAGCAAAUAAACUUCAAAUAGAAAUUUAAACAUACAAGAAGUAGGACCUUGACCAUGCCUCAACAACAUCAGGAACAAGAAGUCAAACAUGCAAUAUUAAUUCACAUGCUUGUAGCUAAUAGCACAUGAGCAUUAGCAAGUGAAGGAGAGAAACAAUAACUAAUGACCAUAAAAUUCUAUAUUGAUACUUAUCAAAAUUGGAUCCAUUCUGAACAACUUCAAGAGUCUAGCCAGCUCUAUUGAUACUUAAAAAUUGGAUCCAUUCUGGAAAUUGUAAGAGUCUAGCCAGCUCUAUUGAUACUAACCAUAAUUGGAUCCAUUCUGGAGAAUUUCAAGUGUGUAGCCAGCUCUAUUGAUAUUGACCAAAACUCGAUCCAUUCUGGACAUUUGCAAGAGUGUAUCCAGUCCUGUUGAAAUUGACCGAGUUUUGAUCCAUUCUGGACAUUUUCAAGAGUGAAGCCAGCUCUAUUGUUACUUACUAAAAUUGGAUCAAUUGUGGACACGUUCAAGAUUCUAGCUAGCUCUAUUGAUACUUACCAAAAUUUGAUCCAUUCGGGACAAUUUUAAGAGUCAAGCCAGCUGUAUUGGUACUCACCAAAAUUGGAUCCAUUCUGGACAACUUCAAGACUCUAACCAGCUCUCUUGAUACUUACCAAAAUUUGAUCUAUCUAUACAAAUUCAAGAGUCUAGCCAGCUCUAUUGAUACUUACCAAAAUUGGAUCCAUUCUGGACAAUUUCAAGAGUCUAGCAAGCUCUAUUGAUACUUACCGAAAAUGGAUCCAAUCUAGGCAAUUUCAAGAGUCAAGCCAGCUCUCUUGAUACUUACCAAAAUUGGAUCCAUUCUGGACAAUUUCAAGAGUCUAGCCAGCUCUAUUGAUAAUUACCAAAAUUGGAUCCAUUCUUAACAAUAUCAAGUGUCUAGCCAGCUUUAUUGAUACUUACCAAAAUUGGAUCCAAUUUUGGACAAUUUCAAGAGUCUAGCCAGCUCUAUUGAUACUGACCAAAAUUGGAUCCAUUCUGGACAAUUUCAAGAGUAUAGCCAGAUCUAUUGAUACUUACAAAAAUUGGAUCCAUUCUGGACAAUUUCAAGAGUCUAGCCAGCUCUAUUGAUAUUUUCCAAAAUUGGAUCCAUUCUGGACAAUUUCAAGAGUCUAGCCAGCUCUAUUGAUACUGACCGAAACUGGAUCCAUUCUGGAAAUUUGCAAGAGUGUAUCCAGUCCUGUUGAAAUUGACCGAAUUUGGAUCCAUUCUGGACAUUUUCAAGAGUGUACCCAGCACUAUUGUUACUUGCCAAAUUGGAUCCAUUCUAUAAAAUUUCAAGAGUCUAGCCUGCACUAUUGAUACUUAACAAAAUUGGAUCCAAUCUGGACAUUUUCAAGUGUUUAGCCAGCCUUGUUGAUACUGACCGAAUUUGGAUUCAUUCUGUACAUUGUCAAAAUAUUUUUGAUUGAUCAUAUAAUGUCCCAGGGAUGAAAAUAAGCCACACCUUUUUGCUUUUUAUUAAAGGGGCCUUUUCAAGUUUUUGUAAAUUGUCAAAAUUGUUUCAGAUUUUUAUGUCGCCCACCACUAUAGUGGUUUAUAAAAUUAUAAAUUGUUGCAAUGCAAAACGAUUGAAUAAUAUGGAAAGUUCUGUUGUCGUUGUUAUAUUUUGUGAAACUACGAGAAUUGCUUAUAUAAAGUAUAAAAUACCUUCCACAUUGUAUGACCACAAAUGACCGAGUGGUCAAAGCAGUAGACUUUUUCUCCAGUACUCCAGUUGUCAGUGGUUCUAUCCCUGUUGAGGGUUCAACCAAGAUUUGAUUUUCAAUUUGUGUCUAGUUAUACACUGGGGACCAUGGCGUUUUCCUUAUAUGCAUGUUAUAAAAACUAUUAUUAUCCUAUGACCUAAACAACAAAGAUAAGGAGCCUGCAAUUGAGGUUGCAUCUGAAUAUUGUAUGGUAUUUGUUUGAACGACACAGGCCCUCUGGGACCUAUUUAAAAAACAUUAUUGAUCCAUUUUUUAUCUUUAACAACUUUUAUAAUUUUUCUCAGUACAUACUCCGGUUUGACUUGAAACAUACAAACUAGUGAAAAUAAUAAGUACUGCCAUAAUUACCAUGGCAAUGUGUUGUUGUUUUUGGUUAAAGGCCAAUGUGCAGACUUACUACUAAAUGAUGAAACAAUGAUGUAAUGUUACUGUUUUAAAUUUGAGAAAGUAUGUGUUUUUAUAUUCUUAGCAUUUUUAUUUAUUUUUCAUGUAAAAUAUACACUUUUGAAAAAUGGUGUUUUAUAACUGUUAAGUUAAGUACACUGGUAUUUCAGUUUGGUUAUGUAGCGGGGUUUGUGUAUUGACACAAGGGGUUAUAGUUGCCAACUUUUAUUAAGCCUCCCUUUGAAGAAGAGGGGGUAUAUUGUUUUGCACAUGUCGGUCCGUCUGUUCGUCCACCAGAUGGUUUCCGGAUGAGAAUGCUUAGGCCUAGGAUCAUGUAACUUCAUAGGAACAUUGAUCAUGACUGGCAGAUGACCCAUAUUGAUUUUCAGGUCACUAGGUCAAAGGUCAUGGGCACAGUGACUGGAAAUAGUAAAAUGGUUUCCGGAUGAUAACUCAAGAAUGCUUACGCCUAGGAUCAUGAAACUUCAUAUGUACAUUGAUCAUGACUGGCAAAUGACCCUUUCGAUUUUCAGGUCACUAGGUCAAAGGUCAAGGUCACAGUGACUCGAAACAGUAAAAUGGUUUCCGGAUGAUAAUUCAAGAAUGCAUACGCCCAAUUUUAAUUACCGGUAUAUAAUUGAUAAUGGUAUGAAAUAUAAUAACAUAAAGUAUUAUAAGUAUUAUCAUAAAUUAUAAAUCAGAUAAUUGAUAAAUACAAUAUCAUUCAAAUAAUAUAAUGAUUACAAUUUUAACAAGUAUACAAGUAAAUACGCUUAAAAUAAUAAAAUGACUCACCAGUAACCAUAUGAAGAAAGAAACUAAAGAGAGUAGGUUUAAGCAAAUGAAAAAUGCUUGUACCUCUUGCAAGGUUUAGUAACGAAAUGAAUCAAAUGUUUCAGAUAUAUAAAACCAUAAAUAUGUAUCUGAAAUCAGCUCACCUAAAAAGCAUUCUCCAUUAAUAAUAUACGGUAGCUCACUCAUUCAUCACACUGAAUCUCUCUUGAUUGGAUAAGUAGUUAUAAUUAUUUAUAAAACUGGUGUUUUGUUUUGUUUUCAUUGUGUUGCCUUUUUGCUUUUUGCUUUCUCUGAGAAAUUUGCAUCUUGAUUUUUUUCAUUUGCUUUAUUAGGUUUGCAUUCUGACGCUUUUUUUGCUUUUGCUUUCUUUGAGCUUAACAGUAUGUAUAUAUAAUACUAGUGACACUACAACAGUUUGCUGUUGUUGUCUUAUUUCGUUCAUUUCAUUAAUUUUGAUAUCUUGUUGAAGAACUUGUAGUACUGUAUGUAUGUACAUGUAGCAUUAAUCAAUGCUUCUUUGCUCAUCAUUUGCCUUUGAAGCUCUGAAAUAGUGCUAGUUACACAUGCGGGAUAAUCAUUUCAGCAUUAGUAUUGUAUUAUUUUGCUUUUAUAAUUAUAUUUUAUUUUUUAUUCAUCAGUGUUGUAUUGUUUUGCUUAUAUUGUGUGAAAUUUGUUGAUCAUUUUCCUUCAAAUCUGGUUUGAGAUGAUAAUUUCCUUUAAGCCCUUUUUAUUUUGUGGCACUAUUGUGUUCUAUUUUCUCUGUAAGCAUUUUUACACCAUUUCUUUUUAUGGUACCUUGUGUCAACAUCAAAAAUCUUUUAAACAGCUCUUAAUUUUGAAUGUAUAGUACUGAUAUUAUAUUUCUGCUUACAUUUGAAUAAUGUCCUAUAGGAAUACUGCUUUAAUUGUGUUUUUAUUGUGCUUUAUUAGAAUAACUAUUUCUUAUGUAUGCCAUGUAUUAUUGAUGUGUUGCAAUUUGUUACUGCUUGUUAGUUCGGUAAACAGCUAUACAUAGCAUAUGUUAUAUACAUGUUAUUUCAUACUGACAAUAAAUUCGUUUUGAUGUGAUUUGAUUAAG
Molecule: long non-coding RNA, 4447 nt
Organism: Dreissena polymorpha
Lineage: Eukaryota; Metazoa; Mollusca; Bivalvia; Myida; Dreissenidae
Exons: 2
Source: RefSeq, a predicted model, not a curated record